Molecule: long non-coding RNA, 1754 nt
Organism: Gasterosteus aculeatus aculeatus (three-spined stickleback)
Lineage: Eukaryota; Metazoa; Chordata; Actinopteri; Perciformes; Gasterosteidae
Source: Ensembl
AACUCAACCUGUCAAUAAACAAACAGCGAGUCGAUGUAGAAACCAUUUUAUUAUUAAACACGUUUCCACGAGCAGUAAACGUGUUUACCGAUCAAUCGAUUACCCAUCAAUCAAUCAAUUAACCCAACUAAUAGGUAUGAAUGAUCAGACAUGUUUGCUAUUUAACUCUUUAAGGAUUGUUGGGUGAACAUUCAUUUUUCUCCCCAGGAAGAAGCGUAGUGACAUCACUUCCUGUGGGCGGGUCUUCCUCUACAUACGUUUCCUGUUCUUUCAGUUUUCUUCCGUUUUCUGCAGUGAAAAACUGACCUUAGAUGCUUUAAAGCUAUUUACUGUCAACUAAGUACAUUUACACUAACUUAGUGGUGUACUUGAGUGUACUAGAAUAUUUAUACUUCUCCACCACAUGUCAGAUAUUGUACUUCCUUGUAUAUCCAGAUGUAUGGAUGAUAAACGUCUUUGCACUUCAACUACUUACACAUUAUCUCAUGGUGGAGUAGUUCCACAGUGAAUCAGCAGUACUUUUACUGCAGUAUAGAAUACUCCUAAAGGCAAACGGUCUCGUUGUCACAACUCUAAACUAUUUUUUUCAAGGAAUUUGUUAAAACUCUACUUUGACUUCUUUAAAUAUGCUUCUGAUCUGCAUCAAACCAGAGAGCAACCAACCAAGCAGCUGGUUGGAGUUACUGGUUUGCUCACGUUGCCGACUUUCAUUCAGAACUUUUUAUUUAGUUCUAGUCCAUUUAAACCACCUCGUUUUGUUCAGCUGUUUGUUGAUCUCUGCAAAAAGGGAAAUGAAAAUGAUCUUUAUAUAUUUUCUUUGGCAUAACUUCACAAACAUUAUUCUUUGUCUCAAAGAAAUCUCAAUAAAAAUAAAAAAAGUGUUCCUGAAACCGAACCAAGAAUUAAAGAAUAAACCCUCACCAGAGAGUCAGAGUUCAAAUCCAUUUAGAAAGACCAGUUGAAAAAUCUAAAGUAAAAAAUAUUGUAUAUAAUAUUGUAUAUAUGAUGUAACAGAAUGUUCUUUAAAUAUUUCACAUUCAAGUGGUGACGAGAUGAAUCCAAUUUGACAAUAAAAGGGUUUUGAUAUCUUGAUGAAAGUCAUCAUUUUCUUUAAAUAUAGUCGGCAUAUUUAUUACAAAAAUAAAUUCAUAAUGUUUUAAACACAUGGUCAUACUUUCCCUAAAAGUUAAAUAUUCCUCAAAAUAGUUCUGCUUUAUUCUCUGACUCUCGGGUCCCUGAACAGUCGGAACCUUUGAACCGUCAGGGCUCAAGUCUGUUCUGAUUGGUUCUGAUCCGGGAUUUCAAUCCUGUUUAAUACACGUCGACUUCAUGAGAAGCAGAUGUUAAUUAACACCCAGUUAGAGUCCUACAGAGGGUCCGGUAGAUCCUGUUGAAGGUCCAGUAGAGUCCUACAGAGGGUCCGGUAGGUCCUGUUGAAGGUCCGGUAGAGUUCUACAGAGGUUCCUGCAGGUCUUGUUGAGGACCCGGUAAAGGGUCCGAGAGGUCCACAAAGACACCUAAAAUUGCUGCUGGUCAGAGGUCUGUUGUUCACUUCCCCAGAACACAAUGAGCGGAGGUGCUGUCGAGCAAGGCACGUUUAUCUACAGUUGAUCCUGAAGGAGAGCAGGAAGUCUGGGUCCCUCUCAUCAACUCCUUCAUGUGGUUCUCCAGGCUCCUCAGAGAGGAGACGUUUCCACUCUGUGAGGGUUUGAUGGUUGAUGGGGGUGAAGAGGAGGAGGAGGAGGAGGAGGAGG